CAAUAGCGUAUAUUAAAGUUGUUGCGGUUAGAAAGCUCGUAGUUGGACUUCUGUCGGAGCCAAUUGGUCAUCGCUAUGCGACUGUAUCUGGUUCGGUUUCGGCAUCUUCGUGGAGGGCGCGGUUGCGCUUGAAUGCGUGGCGCGGCAUCGACGACUUUUACUUUGAGGAAAUUAGAGUGUUUACGGCAGGCAAUCGCCUUGGAUAUGUUAGCAUGGAAUAAUACUGUAGGGCUUCGGUUCUGUUUUGUUGGUUUUCUGGGCUGAGGAAAUGGUUAAUAGGGAUAACCGGGGGCACUUGUAUUAACGCGUCAGAGGUGGAAUUCUUGGAUUGCGUUACGGCAAACGGCGGCGAAAGCAUUUGCCAAGAAUGUUUUCAUUGAUCAAGAACGAAAGUAUGGGGAUCGAAGACGAUUAGAUACCAU
RNAcentral lists this ribosomal RNA (422 nucleotides) under uncultured eukaryote. RNAcentral's name for it is "bacterial SSU rRNA". It matches the Rfam family "Eukaryotic small subunit ribosomal RNA", at positions 592 to 1018 of the family's 1831-position model. The record is from RNAcentral.